RNAcentral lists this transfer RNA (74 nucleotides) under Zea mays. It matches the Rfam family "tRNA". From Rfam's summary of the family: Transfer RNA (tRNA) molecules are approximately 80 nucleotides in length. Their secondary structure includes four short double-helical elements and three loops (D, anti-codon, and T loops). Further hydrogen bonds mediate the characteristic L-shaped molecular structure. tRNAs have two regions of fundamental functional importance: the anti-codon, which is responsible for specific mRNA codon recognition, and the 3' end, to which the tRNAs corresponding amino acid is attached (by aminoacyl-tRNA synthetases). tRNAs cope with the degeneracy of the genetic code in two manners: having more than one tRNA (with a specific anti-codon) for a particular amino acid; and 'wobble' base-pairing, i.e. permitting non-standard base-pairing at the 3rd anti-codon position. The record is from Rfam by way of RNAcentral. Lineage: Eukaryota; Viridiplantae; Streptophyta; Magnoliopsida; Poales; Poaceae.
GCGGAUGUAGCCAAGUGGAUCAAGACAGUGAAUUGUGAAUCCACCAUGUGCGGGUUCGAUUCCCGUCGUUUGCC